UUGAUGAUGAACUGUUCAAUUACCAAAAGGAUAACUUAUAUGAACCAUGUAUAAUUUCUGUAGUGAGAAGCAAAUUUACAGAAACUUCAGAAGACCAAUUGAUGGAAGCUGAUGAAUGUGAUUGGGAAAGACCAAUUAAAGUCAAGUUCAUUGGGGAAGAGGGGGUAGAUCAUGGAGGUUUAACUAAGGAAUUUUUCACACUUUUAUUCAAAUCAUCUAAUGCAUUUGAUGGAAACAGUUUUUCAUUAAAUCCCAAUUUACUUGAGAAAGGAUAUUAUAAACUUAUGGGGAAAGCUGUUGCAAUUGCUGUCAUCCAUGGUCAUCCUGGGCCACAGGAUGUGUCACUGAGUUUAUCGUAACAGGACACAUUCCUCAAUUUAAGGAUGCCAUUACAACUGAUGUUUUGGGGGCUGAUGCCCUGGCAGUCAUCAAUGAAAUCAAUAAUGCUGAUGCGUGUAAUAUCAGGGAAGUUAAUGAAACACACAUGGAUAUGAUUACUGCAACAGGUUUUUUUAAAACUACUUACCACUGAAAACAGAGAAGAAGCUAUUACAGCAAUCAAAGGCUAUUUCACUUUAUAUAAAAUAAUGGCACCCAUACUACAGUUCAUGGAAGGUCUGGAGUUUCAGAAUGUACUUAACCUCUUAAGGAAAUAUAAAGCCGAAGGGAGAUUGGUUUUAGGCACGAGUGAACUUUGUAGUGUUGCUGCCAUAGAGAAAUUUUAUUUAACAUCAUUUUCCAUCAACACCGAUGAAAAAGCUCUUGAAGAAGUUGUUAUGUAUAAUUUCCAGAAGUUUUUGAAAAGAGUUGAGCGUAUGUAUAUUAUUGUUAGAAUCUCUGUCCCUUCCAUGUUUAUUGCAGGUGAGAAAAUCACUACACCAUGGAUAAAUUCAGAUGAAAAUACAGAAAGUAUAGUCAAAUUAAAUACAGGCCAUGUUCUUCAAUCCUUAAUUGGCAGUUCUUCCCUUCCACGGACAUUGAUGAGUGAAAUUAUUACAUUUGAUCACAGUUCAAACAAUUUAUCAUGUGUAAAUACAUGUGCCCCCUCCAUUACCUUUUCUGAUAUUAAAGCCAUUCAAGAAUAUCCAAAAUUUGAAGAACAUUUAUUAAAUAUAAUUGUUUGUUCUUAUGGCUUUGGGAAUGUUUGAAUUUGAUAUGCUACUUUAAGAA
Patella vulgata (common limpet) is the source of this 1170-nucleotide long non-coding RNA. RefSeq lists it as uncharacterized. The transcript is spliced from 3 exons. NCBI's taxonomy places the organism in Eukaryota, Metazoa, Mollusca, Gastropoda, Patellidae. The record is from RefSeq and is a predicted model, not a curated record.